GGCUUAGAAGCAGCCACCAUUUAAAGAGUGCGUAAUAGCUCACUAGUCGAGUGACACUGCGCCGAAAAUGUACCGGGGCUAAACAUAUUACCGAAGCUGUGGAUUGUCCUUUGGACAAUGGUAGGAGAGCGUUCUAAGGGCGUCGAAGCAUGAUCGCAAGGACAUGUGGAGCGCUUAGAAGUGAGAAUGCCGGUGUGAGUAGCGAAAGACGGGUGAGAAUCCCGUCCACCGAUUGACUAAGGUUUCCAGAGGAAGGCUCGUCCGCUCUGGGUUAGUCGGGUCCUAAGCUGAGGCCGACAGGCGUAGGCGAUGGAUAACAGGUUGAUAUUCCUGUACCACCUAGUAUCGUUUUAAUCGAUGGGGGGACGCAGUAGGAUAGGCGAAGCGUGCUGUUGGAGUGCACGUCCAAGCAGUAAGGCUGAGUGUUAGGCAAAUCCGGCACUCAUAAGGCUGAGCUGUGAUGGGGAGAGGAAAUUGUUUCCUCGAGUCGUUGAUUUCACACUGCCGAGAAAAGCCUCUAGAUAGAUAACAGGUGCCCGUACCGCAAACCGACACAGGUAGUCAAGAUGAGAAUUCUAAGGUGAGCGAGCGAACUCUCGUUAAGGAACUCGGCAAAAUGACCCCGUAACUUCGGGAGAAGGGGUGCUCUUUAGGGUUCACGCCCAGAAGAGCCGCAGUGAAUAGGCCCAAGCGACUGUUUAUCAAAAACACAGGUCUCUGCUAAACCGUAAGGUGAUGUAUAGGGGCUGACGCCUGCCCGGUGCUGGAAGGUUAAGAGGAGUGGUUAGCUUCUGCGAAGCUACGAAUCGAAGCCCCAGUAAACGGCGGCCGUAACUAUAACGGUCCUAAGGUAGCGAAAUUCCUUGUCGGGUAAGUUCCGACCCGCACGAAAGGCGUAACGAUUUGGGCACUGUCUCAACGAGAGACUCGGUGAAAUCAUAGUACCUGUGAAGAUGCAGGUUACCCGCGACAGGACGGAAAGACCCCGUGGAGCUUUACUGUAGCCUGAUAUUGAAAUUCGGCACAGCUUGUACAGGAUAGGUAGGAGCCUUUGAAACGUGAGCGCUAGCUUACGUGGAGGCGUUGGUGGGAUACUACCCUAGCUGUGUUGGCUUUCUAACCCGCACCACUUAUCGUGGUGGGAGACAGUGUCAGGCGGGCAGUUUGACUGGGGCGGUCGCCUCCUAAAAGGUAACGGAGGCGCUCAAAGGUUCCCUCAGAAUGGUUGGAAAUCAUUCAUAGAGUGUAAAGGCAUAAGGGAGCUUGACUGCGAGACCUACAAGUCGAGCAGGGUCGAAAGACGGACUUAGUGAUCCGGUGGUUCCGCAUGGAAGGGCCAUCGCUCAACGGAUAAAAGCUACCCUGGGGAUAACAGGCUUAUCUCCCCCAAGAGUCCACAUCGACGGGGAGGUUUGGCACCUCGAUGUCGGCUCGUCGCAUCCUGGGGCUGUAGUCGGUCCCAAGGGUUGGGCUGUUCGCCCAUUAAAGCGGUACGCGAGCUGGGUUCAGAACGUCGUGAGACAGUUCGGUCCCUAUCCGUCGUGGGCGUAGGAAAUUUGAGAGGAGCUGUCCUUAGUACGAGAGGACCGGGAUGGACAUACCUCUGGUGUACCAGUUGUCGUGCCAACGGCAUAGCUGGGUAGCUAUGUAUGGACGGGAUAAGUGCUGAAAGCAUCUAAGCAUGAAGCCCCCCUCAAGAUGAGAUUUCCCAACUUCGGUUAUAAGAUCCCUCGAAGAUGACGAGGUUAAUAGGUUCGAGGUGGAAGCGUGGUGACACGUGGAGCUGACGAAUACUAAUCGAUCGAAGACUUAAUC
RNAcentral lists this ribosomal RNA (1815 nucleotides) under human gut metagenome. RNAcentral's name for it is "bacterial LSU rRNA". It matches the Rfam family "Bacterial large subunit ribosomal RNA", at positions 1103 to 2925 of the family's 2925-position model. The record is from RNAcentral.